GGGCGUGUAGCUCAGUUGGUAGAGCGUGUCAUUAGCACCUGGUACUUGACAAGGUCUUUGGUUCGAUUCCUAACUCGUCCA
Molecule: transfer RNA, 81 nt
Rfam family: tRNA
About the family: Transfer RNA (tRNA) molecules are approximately 80 nucleotides in length. Their secondary structure includes four short double-helical elements and three loops (D, anti-codon, and T loops). Further hydrogen bonds mediate the characteristic L-shaped molecular structure. tRNAs have two regions of fundamental functional importance: the anti-codon, which is responsible for specific mRNA codon recognition, and the 3' end, to which the tRNAs corresponding amino acid is attached (by aminoacyl-tRNA synthetases). tRNAs cope with the degeneracy of the genetic code in two manners: having more than one tRNA (with a specific anti-codon) for a particular amino acid; and 'wobble' base-pairing, i.e. permitting non-standard base-pairing at the 3rd anti-codon position.
Source: Rfam